RNAcentral lists this ribosomal RNA (1486 nucleotides) under uncultured Bordetella sp. RNAcentral's name for it is "partial 16S-23S ribosomal RNA intergenic spacer". It matches the Rfam family "Bacterial small subunit ribosomal RNA". Lineage: Bacteria; Pseudomonadati; Pseudomonadota; Betaproteobacteria; Burkholderiales; Alcaligenaceae. The record is from RNAcentral.
GGUUUGACUUCUGGCUCAGAUUGAACGCUGGCGGGAUGCUUUACACAUGCAAGUCGAACGGCAGCACGGACUUUCGGUCUGGUGGCGUGAGUGGCGAACGGGUGAGUAAUGUAUCGGAACGCCUAGUAGUGAUAACUGACGCGAAAGCGUAGCUAAUACCGUACAUUGCCCUUCGGGGGAAAGCGGGGACCUCGGGCUCGCACUAUUAGAGCGGCCGAUAUCGGAUUAGCUAGUUGGUGGGUAACGGCUCACACCAAGGCGACGAUCCGUGAAGCUGGUUUGCAGAGAGGAAUGACCAGCCACACUGGGACUGAGACAUGUCCAGACUCUACGGAGGCAGUGGGUACUGGACAAUGGGGGGAAACCCUGAUCCGUUAUCCCGCGUGUGCGAUGAAGGCCUCUCGGGCUGUGUAAGCACUUUUGGCAGGAAAGAACGAGGCACGAUAAUGACCUCGUGCAACUGACGGUAAUCAGUGCAGAAGGCACCGGCUAACCACGCCAGCAGCCGCGGUGAAUACGGUAGGCAAAGGUUAAUCGAAUUACUGGGUGAAGUGUGCAGGCGGUUCGGAAAGAAAGAUGAAAUCCCAGAGCUUAACUUUGGAACUGCAUUUUUAACUACUGAGCUAGUGUGUCAGAGGGAGGUGGAAUUCGCGUGUAUGGUGAAAUGCGUGAUAUGCCGCGGAGGAACACCGAUGGCGAAGGCAGCCUCCUGUUAACACUGACGCUCAUGCACGAGUGCGGGGAGCAAACAGGAUUAGAUACCGGUAGUCCACGCCCUAAACGAUGUCAACUAGCCGUUGGGGCCUUCGGGCCUGGUAGCAGCUAACGCGUGAAGCCGACCGCCUGGGGAGUAUUGGUCGCAAGAUUGAACCAGCGAAAUUGACGGGGACCCGCACAAGCGGUGGAUGAUGUGGACGCUAAUUCGAUGCAACGCGAAAACCUUGCCUAAAUUCUGACAUGUCUGGAAUCCCGAAGAGAUUUGGGAGUGCUCGAGAACCGGAACACAGGUACGCAAGGGCUGUCGUCAGCUCGUCGUGAGAUGUUGGGUUGAAGUCCCGCAACGAGCGGUAACCCUUGUCAUUAGUUGCUACGAAGGUGUACCCUAAUGAGACUGCCGGUGACAAACCGGAGGAAGGUGGGGAUGACGUCAAGUCUCAGUGGCCCUUAUGGGUAGGGCUUCACAUCGGUCAUACAAUGGUCGUGACAGUGGUCGCCAAUCCCGCGAGGGGGAGCCAAUCCCAGAAACCCGAUCGUAGUCCGGAUCGCAGGUUCAACUGACUGCGUGAAGUCGGAAUCGCUAGUAACUGCGGAUCAGCAUGUCGCGGUGAAUACGUUCCCGGUCUUGUACACACCGCCCGUCACACCAUGGAGUGGUUUAAAUGGAAGUAGUUAGUCAACCGUAAGGAGGGCGAUUACCACGGGUAGGAUUCUAUGACUGGGGUGAAGUCGUAACAAGGUAGCUCUUCGAGCACAAUUGAUGCCCCCA